ACCUGGUUGGCUCAGGUGGUUAAGCAUCUGACUUUGGCUCAGGUCAUGAUCUCAUGGUUUGUGGGUUUGAGCCCCAUGCUGGGUU
Transfer RNA from Felis catus (domestic cat), 85 nucleotides. It matches the Rfam family "tRNA". Rfam says of the family: Transfer RNA (tRNA) molecules are approximately 80 nucleotides in length. Lineage: Eukaryota; Metazoa; Chordata; Mammalia; Carnivora; Felidae. The record is from Rfam.